Megalobrama amblycephala (Wuchang bream) is the source of this 1055-nucleotide long non-coding RNA. RefSeq lists it as uncharacterized. NCBI's taxonomy places the organism in Eukaryota, Metazoa, Chordata, Actinopteri, Cypriniformes, Xenocyprididae. The transcript is spliced from 3 exons. The record is from RefSeq and is a predicted model, not a curated record.
UCGGGCCUCCAUGCAAAUCCUGUUUGCAGUUGAAAACAGGAAGCCUUGAGUUGUAAAGAAGCCAGAGACAAAGUAUGUCAUCAUAAAGCUGGAAUUUAUAGCAAGGCUGCCAUGGAAGAAGCACUUGCUCUACUGUACAAAAACAACCAGAUGCAAAGCACAUUAAAGCCAGAUCCCUGGGGUAUGGAAAAAGUUUGAAAUUUUAGAAGAAACAUCUGAGACUUCAUUGAAACUUAUGAGCUCUCAAAAGAGCAGCCUCUUGUCAUGAUUACAUGGGAAUGCUGGUGUUUACACCAGGGAAUGAUUCUGUUCCGGAUGGCGGAAGGAUGCAAGGUCAGCUGGUUCCCCUUCAAGUCAGGCAUCAUUACAGACGUCCUGCGGAGGCAGUAAGGCUUUCUAGAACGGACCAUUUCCAGGUUCUCAUGCAGUCAGAACAAAGAGCUCAGAGACUCCAUCUCACUUAGACAGCCAUGUGAUGUCAAAUAAAUGCACUGGAUGUAACAAAUGUUCACUUUUAAUCACAUCUUCUCUUUACUAAAGAGCCAGCAUUAAUGUAUUCACUAUCCUCUAAAAGUCUUUAAAGUGUGCACUGAAAUCCCACCAGAGAUGACCUUUUAUGGCUCCAUCUUGUUGGUCUGGCAAAUAAGCCUCAUUCUUUGCUGUCUAGUCAUCUAGUCUGUUUGAAAAAUCUGGCAAACAUCUGGAAUCGGUCCCUAAAUUUGCUAGAAUGUCAUGCCAGCCUAAGUAGUAUGAUGAUAAUGAAUUGCAUGUGGGUCAUACAUACCUGUCAUGCUGAUAAAUAUAAGUACUAAUGUUGAUAAUAUUGAGUUAUUCACUCUCUUAAAUAUAGGGUUAUUAACUCUUAAUAUGCUCUAGCAGGUGCACAAGAAUGAGUUGUGAAUUGCUUAGUUACCUUCUGAGAAAAGUUGCUUUUAAUAAGCAUUAAAGUGUUAGUUCACCUAAAAAAAAAAAGAAAAUUCUGUCAGCAUUUACUCAACCUCACCUCGUUCCAAACCCAUAAGACUUUUGUUCGUCUUCAGAACACAAAUGAUGAU